This 167-nucleotide ribosomal RNA is filed under the name uncultured Comamonas sp. RNAcentral's name for it is "partial 16S ribosomal RNA". It matches the Rfam family "Bacterial small subunit ribosomal RNA", at positions 1218 to 1382 of the family's 1533-position model. Lineage: Bacteria; Pseudomonadati; Pseudomonadota; Betaproteobacteria; Burkholderiales; Comamonadaceae. The record is from RNAcentral.
ACACGUCAUACAAUGGCUGGUACAAAGGGUUGCCAACUCGCGAGGGGGAGCCAAUCCCAAUAAAGCCAGUCGUAGUCCGGAUCGCAGUCUGCAACUCGACUGCGUGAAGUCGGAAUCGCUAGUAAUCGUGGAUCAGCAUGUCACGGUGAAUACGUUCCCGGGUCGUU